Molecule: long non-coding RNA, 656 nt
Organism: Physella acuta
Lineage: Eukaryota; Metazoa; Mollusca; Gastropoda; Physidae
Source: RefSeq, a predicted model, not a curated record
UUAUUCACUUUAACUUUUUAAAAAAACUUAAUUUUAUUGUUCUAGGCCUAUUUGUGUAAGGAUUUGAAACUGUCUUUAAUAAUUAAUUCAGAGAGAGAGAGAGAGAGAGAGGAACAGUAGACACAAUUAUAGAACAAAUUUCUACAUGUUAAACAGUGUAUUUUGAUAGGUAUUAAUUUUGAAAAAAAUUAGUCAACUAGAAUUCUAAAUUGAUUCAAGAUUGUCAUUCAAAUUUCUAUUACUGUUACAGCUCCCUAUGGGAGAAUAAGAUGUCAUCAUCAUCACUCCUUUGUGGCCCCUGGGGAGCAAAGGGCUGCAACCACACAUCUCCAGCGGACUUGGUUUUGGGCUGCUCCUCUAAUCUGUGCCCAUGAGAGCCCAGCUGUUUUCGCCUCCUCCUCAACCGUUCUCUUCCAUGUUUUCCUUGGCCGGCCCACCCUCCUUUUUCCCUGGGGAUUCCAGUCUAAUGCAUGUUUUGAUGAAUAAGAUGCCUCCAGGUGUUGUGUAUAUCAAUCAGCCCACUGGAGAUAUAUCAAUCUUUAAUAAAUUAUAAGGUCCCCACUGCUUGAUACUUCACCAAAUACUGGCUACACCAGAAAAUGACUAAAUGUUCUUAACACUUAACAACUACCACAAGCAUUACUUCUGGGUCACUC